UUCAAAGGCAAUUUCCAGGACUCCAGGUUCUAUUCCAUCUAAGAAGAGGGAGAGAAAGGUCUUUGUGAAUCAGAACAUUGUUGAAAACCACAGCGAAGACUUCAUGUGGCUUAGUAUAUGUGCAAGUUCAUCCUCUAGGGUCCUGGUCUCCACUGCAUCCUGCCAGGUAGUACCACCAAAAGGGGUCAGGAGGAUUCACCUCUGGGAAUAACAGCACCAGGCACCAUGAGCACCAGCAACACCUUCACCCUGCAGGCUGCACCUGGGAGAACCUGCGGGCAGUGAGAGGACCUGAGGAGCACCCAUUUUGGACAGUGGUCACAGCUGACGGACCCUCCUGCCUGGCUCCUCCAGGCACUGCUCACAAUAUUUUUCCCAGUCCAGAAACCCACCCAGCACUCCACCUGCGAUGAAGAGUGGCAGAUCUUCACAGCUGAGGGCAGAGGAGCACGCACAGCUGCUCACCAGAGUCUGCUCAGCCCUCCCACCACCCACCACCUCCACUGACACCAGCCCAGCUGUGCAGCCAUUCUGGACACCUCUGGGGAGGG
Long non-coding RNA from Sciurus carolinensis (gray squirrel), 551 nucleotides. RefSeq lists it as uncharacterized. Lineage: Eukaryota; Metazoa; Chordata; Mammalia; Rodentia; Sciuridae. The record is from RefSeq and is a predicted model, not a curated record. The transcript is spliced from 3 exons.